GACGAACGCUGGCGGCGUGCCUAAUACAUGCAAGUAGAACGCUGAAGGAGGAGCUUGCUUCUCUGGAUGAGUUGCGAACGGGUGAGUAACGCGUAGGUAACCUGCCUGGUAGCGGGGGAUAACUAUUGGAAACGAUAGCUAAUACCGCAUAAUAGCAGUUGUUGCAUGACAACUGUUUGAAAGGUGCAAUUGCACCACUACCAGAUGGACCUGCGUUGUAUUAGCUAGUUGGUGGGGUAACGGCUCACCAAGGCGACGAUACAUAGCCGACCUGAGAGGGUGAUCGGCCACACUGGGACUGAGACACGGCCCAGACUCCUACGGGAGGCAGCAGUAGGGAAUCUUCGGCAAUGGACGGAAGUCUGACCGAGCAACGCCGCGUGAGUGAAGAAGGUUUUCGGAUCGUAAAGCUCUGUUGUAAGAGAAGAACGAGUGUGAGAGUGGAAAGUUCACACUGUGACGGUAUCUUACCAGAAAGGGACGGCUAACUACGUG
RNAcentral lists this ribosomal RNA (495 nucleotides) under uncultured bacterium. RNAcentral's name for it is "partial 16S ribosomal RNA". It matches the Rfam family "Bacterial small subunit ribosomal RNA", at positions 28 to 507 of the family's 1533-position model. The record is from RNAcentral.